AUGUCGGUGCCGGUGGCGUACCAGGGGAACACGUCGGCGGCGGUGGCCGACUGGCUGAACAAGGGCGACAACGCGUGGCAGCUGACGGCGUCCACGCUGGUGGGCCUCAUGAGCGUGCCGGGCAUGGUGGUGCUGUACGGCGGCGUGGUGAAGAAGAAGUGGGCGGUCAACUCCGCCUUCAUGGCGCUCUACGCCUUCGCCGCCGUCUGGAUCUGCUGGGUCGUCUGGGCCUACAACAUGUCCUUCGGCGAGGAGCUGCUCCCGUUCUGGGGCAAGGCCGGCCCGGCGCUCGACCAGGCCUUCCUCGUCGGCCGCGCCUCGCUCCCGGCCACCGCGCACUACCGCGCAGACGGCACGCUCGAGACGGCCAUGGUGGAGCCCUACUUCCCCAUGGCCACCGUCGUCUACUUCCAGUGCGUGUUCGCCGCCAUCACGCUCAUCCUGGUGGCCGGGUCGCUGCUGGGCCGCAUGAGCUUCCUGGCGUGGAUGCUCUUCGUGCCGCUCUGGCUCACCUUCUCCUACACCGUCGGCGCCUUCUCCGUGUGGGGCGGCGGCUUCCUCUUCCACUGGGGCGUCAUCGACUACUGCGGCGGCUACGUCAUCCACAUCCCCGCCGGCGUCGCCGGCUUCACCGCCGCGUACUGGGUCGGGCCAAGGACCAAGAAGGACAGGGAGAGCUUCCCGCCCAACAACAUCCUGUUCGCGCUCACCGGCGCCGGGCUGCUGUGGAUGGGGUGGGCCGGGUUCAACGGCGGCGGGCCGUACGCGGCCAAUGUCGACUCGUCCAUGGCCAUCCUGAACACCAACAUCUGCACGGCGGCGAGCCUCAUCGUCUGGACCUGCCUCGAUGCCGUCUUCUUCAAGAAGCCCUCCGUGGUCGGCGCCGUCCAGGCCGUGAUCACCGGUCUCGUCUGCAUCACGCCAGGCGCAGGUGUCGUGCAGGGUUGGGCGGCGCUGGUUAUGGGCGUGCUGGCCGGCAGUGUGCCGUGGUACACCAUGAUGGUGCUCCACAAGCGCUCCAAGCUCCUUCAACGCGUCGACGACACCCUUGGCGUCAUCCACACCCACGGCGUCGCCGGCCUGCUGGGCGGCGUCCUCACGGGCCUCUUCGCCGAGCCGAACCUCUGCAAUCUAUUCCUUCCGGUCACCAACUCCCGGGGCGCCUUCUACGGUGGUAACGGUGGGGCGCAGCUCGGGAAGCAGAUCGCCGGAGCGCUCUUCGUGAUCGGGUGGAACGUGGUCGUCACGUCCAUUAUCUGCGUCGUCAUCCGCCUUGUCGUCCCGCUGCGCAUGUCCGAGGAGAAGCUCGCCAUUGGCGACGACGCCGUGCACGGCGAGGAGGCCUACGCGUUGUGGGGCGAUGGCGAGCACUACGAUGACACCAAGCACGGCGCCGCCGUCGUGCCGGUGUGA
Molecule: ribosomal RNA, 1413 nt
Filed under: Triticum aestivum (bread wheat)
Lineage: Eukaryota; Viridiplantae; Streptophyta; Magnoliopsida; Poales; Poaceae
Description: partial small subunit ribosomal RNA
Source: RNAcentral